CAGCGCCGCGGUAAUACAGAGGGUGCGAGCGUUAAUCGGAUUUACUGGGCGUAAAGCGUGCGUAGGCGGCUUCUUAAGUCGGAUGUGAAAUCCCUGAGCUUAACUUAGGAAUUGCAUUCGAUACUGGGAAGCUAGAGUAUGGGAGAGGAUGGUAGAAUUCCAGGUGUAGCGGUGAAAUGCGUAGAGAUCUGGAGGAAUACCGAUGGCGAAGGCAGCCAUCUGGCCUAAUACUGACGCUGAGGUACGAAAGCAUGGGGAGCAAACAGGAUUAGAUACCCGGGUAGUCCCUGUCUCUUAUACA
RNAcentral lists this ribosomal RNA (301 nucleotides) under uncultured bacterium. RNAcentral's name for it is "partial 16S ribosomal RNA". It matches the Rfam family "Bacterial small subunit ribosomal RNA", at positions 509 to 808 of the family's 1533-position model. The record is from RNAcentral.